UAUGGUAAUUGGCAGCCGCGGUAAUACGGAAGGUCCGGGCGUUAUCCGGAUUUAUUGGGUUUAAAGGGAGCGUAGGCCGGAGAUUAAGCGUGUUGUGAAAUGUAGACGCUCAACGUCUGCACUGCAGCGCGAACUGGUUUCCUUGAGUACGCACAAAGUGGGCGGAAUUCGUGGUGUAGCGGUGAAAUGCUUAGAUAUCACGAAGAACUCCGAUUGCGAAGGCAGCUCACUGGAGCGCAACUGACGCUGAAGCUCGAAAGUGCGGGUAUCGAACAGG
This 277-nucleotide ribosomal RNA is filed under the name Segatella copri DSM 18205. RNAcentral describes it as "Prevotella copri DSM 18205 partial 16S ribosomal RNA". It matches the Rfam family "Bacterial small subunit ribosomal RNA", at positions 502 to 776 of the family's 1533-position model. The record is from RNAcentral. Lineage: Bacteria; Pseudomonadati; Bacteroidota; Bacteroidia; Bacteroidales; Prevotellaceae.